AUGUCCUUGCUUUGACAUCACAUAUACAGAGAAGAUGAGCAUGGCCUCUGAGCAAGGAUGAUAUGCAAAUUUGUGAAGAAAAAAAAAAAAGA
Molecule: small nuclear RNA, 92 nt
Filed under: Neogale vison (American mink)
Lineage: Eukaryota; Metazoa; Chordata; Mammalia; Carnivora; Mustelidae
Source: RNAcentral